CUGCAGUCUACCCACCACGGUUGACUGAACAUGUCUGUCCCGUACGUCUGCUCAGUGUGAGCAGACGAUAUUCAGGUCAUUGUCGUCUGGUCGUCCACUGGCAGCCAUAUAUAUAUAUCCUUCACAAAUCACGGAAAUACAGUCGUGAGGACUACGAGAACAACGAUGGAGACACCCGAGAAGCAGUACUACGCCGACGACGAGGCAGUCCUGACGCCAACGGACAAACUGAAGUUCGGCAUUCCUCAUCGGCUUCCCAGUCACCAUGUUCAUUUUGACUAUCAUCCUCAUGGCGGCAUACAACUAGGUCAAGGUCAAAUAUAUGAUGGAGACCAAUUACUCAGACAAUAGGCGCCUUAAGCAACACCACAACCGCAGCAACAAAACGUCAACAACAACAGCACAUCCAUAGCAGUCACAUCAACAACUGCAGCAGCAUCUGACCGUUCUUUCGACAGGAAUCCAUGGAGACCGUGCAAUAAUUAUUUCAAUGUUCAUUAAAUGUUUGUCUUUCAACAA
Haliotis rubra (blacklip abalone) is the source of this 519-nucleotide long non-coding RNA. RefSeq lists it as uncharacterized. The transcript is spliced from 3 exons. The record is from RefSeq and is a predicted model, not a curated record. NCBI's taxonomy places the organism in Eukaryota, Metazoa, Mollusca, Gastropoda, Lepetellida, Haliotidae.